Molecule: long non-coding RNA, 266 nt
Filed under: Carica papaya (papaya)
Lineage: Eukaryota; Viridiplantae; Streptophyta; Magnoliopsida; Brassicales; Caricaceae
Description: long non-coding RNA (CPAP_LNC001761)
Source: RNAcentral
CCUCCUGGGAAGUUCUUAUGUCGCAUAAGUCUUUUUGCAAUCGGGGUGUUAAAUGUUAUGUGGGACUAGAGCGACGGUUCGCCAGUUCAUUCGCAAAUAUGAGUCACAACGCCGAAGUAUUAUACUUAAUUUUUUUUGCGCAUUCAAUUGAAGCCCAUCACGUGAUAAGAGUGUCAUUGCGAGCAUCUUAAAUAGUAGAACAAUGAAAAACGAGGUGCGGCAGACGAUCCGCUCAUAUGGGCAUGAAUCGAGGUGCCGGAGCAUUU